This 572-nucleotide ribosomal RNA is filed under the name uncultured bacterium. Its description in RNAcentral is "partial 16S ribosomal RNA". It matches the Rfam family "Bacterial small subunit ribosomal RNA", at positions 355 to 920 of the family's 1533-position model. The record is from RNAcentral.
UGGGGAAUUUUGGACAAUGGGCGAAAGCCUGAUCCAGCAAUGCCGCGUGUGUGAAGAAGGCCUUCGGGUUGUAAAGCACUUUUGUCCGGAAAGAAAUCCUUGGCUCUAAUACAGUCGGGGGAUGACGGUACCGGAAGAAUAAGCACCGGCUAACUACGUGCCAGCAGCCGCGGUAAUACGUAGGGUGCAAGCGUUAAUCGGAAUUACUGGGCGUAAAGCGUGCGCAGGCGGUUUGCUAAGACCGAUGUGAAAUCCCCGGGCUCAACCUGGGAACUGCAUUGGUGACUGGCAGGCUAGAGUAUGGCAGAGGGGGGUAGAAUUCCACGUGUAGCAGUGAAAUGCGUAGAGAUGUGGAGGAAUACCGAUGGCGAAGGCAGCCCCCUGGGCCAAUACUGACGCUCAUGCACGAAAGCGUGGGGAGCAAACAGGAUUAGAUACCCUGGUAGUCCACGCCCUAAACGAUGUCAACUAGUUGUUGGGGAUUCAUUUCCUUAGUAACGUAGCUAACGCGUGAAGUUGACCGCCUGGGGAGUACGGUCGCAAGAUUAAAACUCAAAUGAAUUGNCGGGGUC